GUCACGCUGUAAACGAUGUCGAUUUGGAGUUUGUUGCCUAGAGUGAUGGGCUCCGAAGCUGACGCGAUAAAUCGACCGCCUGGGGAGUACGGCCGCAAGGUUAAAACUCAAAUGAAUUGACGGGGGCCCGCACAAGCGGUGGAGCAUGUGGUUUAAUUCGAUGCAACGCGAAGAACCUUACCUGGUCUUGACAUCCAUAGAAUUCUGCAGAGAUGUGGGAGUGCCUUCGGGAACUAUGAGACAGGUGCUGCAUGGCUGUCGUCAGCUCGUGUUGUGAAAUGUUGGGUUAAGUCCCGCAACGAGCGCAACCCUUAUUCUUUGUUGCCAGCGAUUUGGUCGGGAACUCAAAGGAGACUGCCGUUGAUAAAGCGGAGGAAGGUGGGGACGACGUCAAGUCAUCAUGGCCCUUACGACCAGGGCUACACACGUGCUACAAUGGCGUAUACAAAGGGAAGCGAAGGUGCGAGCUGGAGCGGAUCUCAUAAAGUACGUCUAAGUUCGGAUUGGAGUCUGCAACUCGACUCCAUGAAGUCGGAAUCGCUAGUAAUCGUAGAUCAGAAUGCUACGGUGAAUACGUUCCCGGGCCUUGUACACACCGCCCGUCACACCAUGGGAGUGGGUUGCACCAGAAGUAGAUAGCUUAACCGCGAGGGGGGCGUUUACCACGGUGUGAUUCAUGACUGGGGUGAAGUCGUAACAAGGUAACCA
Molecule: ribosomal RNA, 708 nt
Filed under: uncultured Enterobacteriaceae bacterium
Lineage: Bacteria; Pseudomonadati; Pseudomonadota; Gammaproteobacteria; Enterobacterales; Enterobacteriaceae
Description: bacterial SSU rRNA
Rfam family: Bacterial small subunit ribosomal RNA
Source: RNAcentral